GCUAAAAAUUUCUCUAUUUGAUUUAGAGAGAGAGAGAUUUGGAUGUUAACAAUUCGCAGAAGCCACUGCGAUUUCGUUUCUAUAUCGUUAAUACAACCUUUUAAGAUCAUCCUCUAAUAGGAAUUCGUCGGGUCUCCAAUCUCUCGUGAGCUCCACGGCCGAAGAAUCCCUUAUUUGUUUUAUAUUUUUCAAAUUCAUUGAUAUUUCUUGCAAUGUGGGUGACCGAAUCGACAUUUCAUGCGUUGUUCCAUACAGCGAGAUGUCAAAUUAGCUGGUGAUGGGAAAAUGUGCGAGAAUUGAAAAAUUCUGCCUAUACACAUGGAUGUUUAGAUUUAUUGUUUUAGCGAAAAAGUGAAUUGGUGAGAUUUGAGGGAUUGAUUUGUGGCACUAUGGAAUGUUAGGGCGUUGUCGCAGAGGGAACUUGCUGCAGUUUUGAAAUUCUGGGUUGAUUUCUCAUGAUGUGGUAGAUUGAGGAAUGCUGUUGUUACGUGUUGGGCACAGGUGGAGUACUUCUGUUUCCUGGGCGAAGUUGGAGAUUGGCUUAUUACUCUACGCAUUACGCAAUACUGCAUGGGUUGGUGUCCAAAUGGGUGUUGGUUCCAUACCCUUGCAACAACUUGAAUGGCUGAGUCUCGGAAGAAUGGUCUUGCUGAUAAGGAUAUCGAGCAGGCCAUCACAGCACUAAAGAAAGGAUCAUAUUUACUGAAGUAAGGGCGUAGACGAAAGCCGAAAUUUUGCCCAUUUCAUCUCUCAAAUGAUGAAUCUUUGUUGAUAUGGUACUCUGGUAAAAAGGAGAAGCAUCUUAAACUCAGUCAAGUUUCAAAGAUUAUUCCGGGAUAGCGAACUGCAAUAUUUCAGCGCUAUCCUCGUCCUAAAAAGGAGUAUCAAUCAUUUUCUCUUAUAUGCAAUGACAGGUCCUUGAAUCUGGAUCCAGGAGAUGGGGAUAUCCCUUUUGAGGAUAUUUCGCAUAAUAGAUUAGGAAAGGCAUUUUCUGAUAUAUUAUCCCAAACUGCUGCAGAAAAUAUUUGUAAUCAAGGGGAAUCGGUUGCAUAUUCUGUUAUCUCAUUAUCAGCUGCUUCAUUAAACAACCCAAAUGGUCGGAAUUCUACAUCAGAGGCGGUUCGCGUCAGUUACUUUAGUGCUGUAAGCUCAUCUAGCCAUGGUUCUUGUCCCAAGGACUUUGAUGCCCUAGGUGAUGUUUUUAUUUGGGGAUAAAGUAUUGGAGAUGGAUUGCACAAAGUUGGGAUAUGCCUCGUUCAAAGAUGAAUGCAUUUCUGCCUCAGGCAUUGGAAUCAAUUGUCGUUCUCGACAUGCAUAAUAUUGCUUGUGGUGCAAGGCAUGCAGUGUUAGUUACUAGACAAGGGGAAAUCUUUAGUUAGGGGGAGGAAUCGGGAGGUAGGCUGGGGCAUGGCAUGGAAGCAGAUGUUUCCCAUCCAAAGCUCAUAGAUAGUCUCAGUGGAAUGAACAUUCAAUCAAUGGCAUGUGGAGAGUAUCACACCUGUGUCUAUUUAGUAUAAAUAACUAUAGGCUUUGUUUAGGAGGUUAUUACAUCAUUGUUAAUAUUAUCUAUUGGAGCUUUGUCAUCUCCUAACGGACUGGUUAUUGGUUGUGAUUGUGUUUAAGAUUCUUGCACAAUUUGCUGCCAAUAUUCAUCUCUUCUUUCAUAUUUGGUUCCUUUUCCAUCUCAUAUUAUUAGCCCCUAUCAUUUUGGUAUCGAAGCCGUUGAUCCAUCAUGGUUAACACCAGAUCUUCCAACCUGCAAAAUGACCCAGCAAACCCAAACACCGACCCACCAGCCAACCCAAAUUCUGAUUCCAUUGCCCAACAAUUAACUGCCAUCGCUUCCAAAUUAAACACCAUAGACUCUCUAGCAGCCGAAGUCGCAGCCCUCAAAUCCCAAUCUAGUGGGGCCCCUC
Long non-coding RNA from Tripterygium wilfordii, 1916 nucleotides. RefSeq lists it as uncharacterized. The record is from RefSeq and is a predicted model, not a curated record. The transcript has 5 exons. Lineage: Eukaryota; Viridiplantae; Streptophyta; Magnoliopsida; Celastrales; Celastraceae.